CGCCGCGGCGCACGGUUUGCUGGCGCUCCUCUGCGCGUCACAGCGAAAUGACACUAUAGAGUCGCUCCCUGCCUGUUGGCUUAAACGAGCAGCGCGCACCACGACUCCCAGGGACGCACCAGUGUGGAGGACAUGGGACAAACGCUCCUACUGUGUAACACUACUCCUAUUGGCAGCGAGGAAUAAAAGAGCUCAUUGGAGCAGCAUCGCUGACAUGGAUCAGGACCGUAAAGAAGCUCCGCAUACUUUCCAACCUUGAAACGCCGCUCCGCCCCAAAGAUGUGAUUUGCACAGCAAGAGGCCCCACAGUAAACAGAGGGAGCAGACGCACUGCUCAAGGGCUCCUCAUUCAUCUCGACAUCCCAAG
Molecule: long non-coding RNA, 367 nt
Organism: Gasterosteus aculeatus aculeatus (three-spined stickleback)
Lineage: Eukaryota; Metazoa; Chordata; Actinopteri; Perciformes; Gasterosteidae
Source: Ensembl